This 468-nucleotide ribosomal RNA is filed under the name uncultured bacterium. RNAcentral describes it as "partial 16S ribosomal RNA". It matches the Rfam family "Bacterial small subunit ribosomal RNA", at positions 28 to 507 of the family's 1533-position model. The record is from RNAcentral.
GACGAACGCUGGCGGCGUGCUUAACACAUGCAAGUCGAACGGAAAGGCCCUGCUUUUGUGGGGUGCUCGAGUGGCGAACGGGUGAGUAACACGUGAGUAACCUGCCCUUGACUUUGGGAUAACUUCAGGAAACUGGGGCUAAUACCGGAUAGGAGCUCCUGCUGCAUGGUGGGGGUUGGAAAGUUUCGGCGGUUGGGGAUGGACUCGCGGCUUAUCAGCUUGUUGGUGGGGUAGUGGCUUACCAAGGCUUUGACGGGUAGCCGGCCUGAGAGGGGGACCGGCCACAUUGGGACUGAGAGACGGCCCAGACGCCUACGGGAGGCAGCAGUGGGGAAUAUUGCACAAUGGGCGGAAGCCUGAUGCAGCAACGCCGCGUGCGGGAUGACGGCCUUCGGGUUGUAAACCGCUUUCGCCUGUGACGAAGCGUGAGUGACGGUAAUGGGUAAAGAAGCACCGGCUAACUACGUG